This 208-nucleotide long non-coding RNA is filed under the name Arachis ipaensis. Its description in RNAcentral is "long non-coding RNA (AIPA_LNC001333)". Lineage: Eukaryota; Viridiplantae; Streptophyta; Magnoliopsida; Fabales; Fabaceae. The record is from RNAcentral.
UGUCAAUGGAAGCUUGCUGCAAUGGCGGAUCUCUGCUCUGGGGUAACAUGCCUUGGCUGUGGCCAUUGAGUUUGGUAAUGAGUUUGAAACUUCAGCUGCAGAGUGGGGAAGGAGACCUCUUCCAACGCUGGGUCGGGUAUAGGUCUAUGGAUCUGCCUUGGGAAUCUGGUUUGUUUUGGUUUGGGCCUGCAUGUUGGCCUGGACCUUG